GGAUCUCGCUUUCUGUAAUCUCCUUAUCCAAUUGUUAGGUUUUUUCAGCGCGAAGGUCUAAUGGCUUCGACGAGGUUUCCCUGUGCUCAAACCCUAUCGAAAACCUCGAAUUCUCUUCUCCGAUCUUCUCUUUUAGCCCUAAUGGCGUCGAAUUCGCUUCCAACUUCUCGUUUAGGUUACCGUUUUACUUGCAACGGCUCCUGCAGCACCGUUCCAGUUCGCACUUUGGAUUAUGAGUUCACCAAUGGUUCUUCUGAAGUGGAACUGAGAUAACACCUUGGGACACAAGAAAUUGGUAGUUCAAAAGAUGUUUUUGUGGAUGCAAAUCAAGCCUCGUUGAUAAUUAAAGUACAAUGCUUGGGAUCGACAAUCACUUUUCUGGAAACGAAACAACAAUUUGAGAAAAUAAAACCUGCAGAAACAAUAUGGUUUUCCAUUGUUAUGGUAGAUAGCCUCCUACAAAUAGUAUGAGUCUUAAUGUCUAAAUAUGACAUUUGUUUGAUGAACAGGUAUAUUGAUGAAGAUCAAUUAGUUAUAAACUCAAAGAAGCAUGAUCCAGACUUCAAAUGGCCCAACAUUUUAGAGUCUUGGUAAUCCCUUAUAGGAGGAUCUACGCAGUUUCCAAAAGGAACAUCGAUGAAUUUGAUAGGGGGGAUUCAACAGAUACUAACCAAAAAGUUGGGCAGGAACUCGAAGUUGGGCUAGGGCAAUGUCUAUCAACUGAAUUGUGGCCUUGAAACGUAACAACUUAAACAAGGCAAACAUUUUAGUGCCAGGUAUACUCCAUCGAGUACAAAAGAAGUGCUGGAAACAUUUUCCAAGCAGAUCGUUGAUUCAUGUGAGUACUAUUUGCCCUGAACAUGCUUUAAUGCCACUAAUCACUGCCAGGGUCUUAUAAACUUUUUCCCUUUUCACAAUAAUCACCUUCUAGAGGUUUUAUUGGGAGGUAACUGAUUCCUUUGACUACUAACAAUUUGAUAAUUUGGUUUAUAUUGAUUCUGAGGUCAGAAUGUUAUAUACCUGUUUCUGUGUUUCUCAUCUUUUAAAAAGAUGUUAUGUACCUGUUUCUAUGUUUUAUAUCUUUCUAUUACAUAAAGAUCCCCACUUUUGGUAAUAAAAAAUAGAGGGUAAUCACAAAAUAAAUUUGAAUUAAGAGUCCAAAAGGAAGCGUUAAAUGUUCCACUCCUCUUAUAACUUCUCUUUGAAACGAGGACUCAAAACUAUUUCCUCCAUCUCUGUUACCAAAACUCUACUCAGAAAUCUGUGAGGGUCCCGAUUGUAAAUGUUUGUUUUAGGAGGGGCAAGAAUGGAAAUACAUUAUCCCUUAGAACAUAUAUGUGUUAAACACUGGUGGUACAAAGUCAAUAUAGGUCUUAUAUUUGAUAGACACGCAAGUACUUAUUGAGUAAUCUAAAUAGACACAUAAUAAUAAAUAAAAAAGUGAAAUACAUCAUACUCAUUUUUUAAGCAUAUAAAUUCGUAAACUUAUUGAUUUUAAGUUUCUUUUGGGUAUUAGAAUGAUGUAUACCAUACCAAAUAUAAAUUUUAAUAAACAUGUCUUUGUGUCGAAGUUCUGGUUUUUUUUUUCCCAAAUAAAACGACAUGUCAUCAUGUCGUAUUUGUGACUCGUAUCUAUAUCCAUACUUCUUCGGUUCCUAUAAUCCUCCCAAAAUUGAACUCUACUACCAUCCCCCAUAAAGAAAAGGUAAUGAAAGGGAGGAAACUUGGGAGGCCGGGGGAAAUAACCUUCCAAGGAUUGCUAAAGGUGCCCUUAGAUAGUGCCUACAUUUCAUUUAUUGAAAUGAAACCCACACAUCUACAUAAUUGUCAAAGCAACAAAACUCGUGGUUCUAACAACCACUUUAGAGAGACCACAUUUUCUAACAACCACUUCCUAUUCUCAACCCCCUUCCCCAUUAGUUCCAAUACAUCAUUCCAAUUCUCUAGGUAUGACCCACCCUCUUCUCAACAUUUUCUGAUAAGAAAUCUCUCUUGGACUUUUCUACCCUGUCUUUAAUUUUAUCAAUAUGUUUGAACGGAAGUGAAACACAAAAAGAUACUGUUAAGUGUCACAAUCUCACUAAGAAGACAAGUAGUUUGUGACCCCCACAUAGACGGCCAAGGUGGCGACCCUCAACCGGUGCCCAUCCGACCACGUGAGGGCUGAGACAGAUAAGUUCCAUGAUGCAACCGAGAAGGACGGUGCAUCAUUCAACACACCAAGAAGAAUGUGUAUUAAAGCCAAGUCGAGUCAUAAGCAAGGUUUGAGAGAACGAGGCGACAUGAGUGUCGAAGACAAGCUCAAAGAAUGUUGGUAGGGCCCCGAGCCAUAACCUCAGAAGUCAGAGUUUUGAUGAGUAUCGGCAUGCAGCUCUAGAGUUAAGUCUGCCUAUAUGAAAGAUAAAAGCUCACCAAAUUUGGUGACAAUCAGACACUCAACGGACUCUCCACAGGGUCGUAUGACUGCUCGCCGAAAUCACAUCUACUCUAGAAAGAUUAGAAAUGCCUCAAAAUGUACUAUAAGGGGAGGCAUAGUGUUAGCUCUCCACCAUCCCUGGGCCCUGUGGCUUAAGCAAGCUACCUUGUGGGACAGACGUGUGUCAUGGUGUGAGUGAGAGACACGGGUGUAUUCCUUUGAAAUUGGUCUUUCAAGAACAGUGUUGGAUGACACGGGUAUGCCGACAUUGCGUCUUAGUCCAUGUGUUGGAGGUUGUUAUAUACACCCGCUAUCUAGUAUGGAGUCCGUAGACGACAUAGCAUGAACUCAGGAGAGUUCAUGUCUCAAUGAGAACUCGGAUAGAUGGAUGUUUGGAUGUUCCGAUGAGAUGAUCAACACAUGGGUUGAUUCCAAUAGACGUGUUCGAGCAAACCUAAAUGGCCGAGUUGUCCCGAGACAUGGGAUGGGAUCACGAUGCAUGGGCCGUGUUGUUGAGAACCAAGACAAUGACUGAGAUGCGACGUUGUACAUGAGAGACCUUGGCCUAGAGUAGAGGCAAGGUCGAGUCGAAUGACUUGGCCUAGUGUAGAGGUAAGUCGGCUAGAGAUGCAAACAGUCAAACAUUCACGCACGGGCGGCAUGUGUGGCCGAACAAGGUUGUAUUUUGCACAAGUUGUGUUCAGUUGGCGAAGGUAAACCUCGCCUAAGAUCCGACGAAUCCACAAAGACAGACGAAAAAUGUGAAUGGGGUUUGAGUUUUCCUUUAGGCUUCUCAUGAGCUUGUCAAGAUCAUGACAUCGCACGGUUAAAAAGGUAUGACCUUGACAUAAGCACACCACACUAAGGAAUAUGGAGCCAAUACCAUGCUGCAAAGCUUGGAGGAUCAAAAUCACUGCAUCCACAUUUGUUGAAGUCAUUGUGGUACUUGGAAGUCAAAUAAUUUUAGUUGGGUUAUUUGAAGGUCGAUUAGCAGCACGAGUUUGAGACCUUUUGAAGUUUGUAACCUUCAUUACAAUAGAAUCUGCCGGCAAACCAGUAUACUUAUCAGUGUUCUCUUUUUUCCUCUUUUUUAUUUGUCAUUUGUGACUUGUUAACUUAUUUGGCUCACACUUGUGAAGGGUUGAACAAUUGAAGUAUAUUUUAGUUGUCUUAAUGCUCUUUGUAUCCAUUUCUCCCAACACCUAAGUAGAUUUGACUUGAGGAUAAUGGGCGUGGGAAACUCAAAUAAGACGAGGAAAGAGAAACAAAGAACCUUGCACCUAUAAAUAAUUGUUCACCUUCUUAGUUUGUCUACAUUGUAAAUGAUCUUGAAUAAAGAACACUCAUCUCUCUUAAA
This is a non-coding RNA of Cucurbita pepo subsp. pepo (vegetable marrow), 3773 nucleotides long. The record is from RefSeq and is a predicted model, not a curated record. NCBI's taxonomy places the organism in Eukaryota, Viridiplantae, Streptophyta, Magnoliopsida, Cucurbitales, Cucurbitaceae.